AAAUUGAAGAGUUUGAUCAUGGCUCAGAUUGAACGCUGGCGGCAGGCCUAACACAUGCAAGUCGAGCGGAAACGAGUUAUCUGAACCUUCGGGGAACGAUAACGGCGUCGAGCGGCGGACGGGUGAGUAAUGCCUAGGAAAUUGCCCUGAUGUGGGGGAUAACCAUUGGAAACGAUGGCUAAUACCGCAUGAUGCCUAUGGGCCAA
Molecule: ribosomal RNA, 206 nt
Filed under: Vibrio parahaemolyticus
Lineage: Bacteria; Pseudomonadati; Pseudomonadota; Gammaproteobacteria; Vibrionales; Vibrionaceae
Description: partial 16S ribosomal RNA
Rfam family: Bacterial small subunit ribosomal RNA
Source: RNAcentral